AUUGAACGCUGGCGGAAUGCUUUACACAUGCAAGUCGAACGGUAGAGGGGGCAACCCCUUGAGAGUGGCGAACGGGUGAGUAAUAUAUCGGAACGUGCCCAGUCGUGGGGAUAACGUAGCGAAAGUUACGCUAAUACCGCAUACGAUCUAAGGAUGAAAGCGGGGGAUCGCAAGACCUCGCGCGAUUGGAGCGGCCGAUAUCAGAUUAGGUAGUUGGUGAGGUAAAGGCUCACCAAGCCAACGAUCUGUAGCUGGUCUGAGAGGACGACCAGCCACACUGGAACUGAGACACGGUCCAGACUCCUACGGGAGGCAGCAGUGGGGAAUUUUGGACAAUGGACGCAAGUCUGAUCCAGCCAUUCCGCGUGCAGGAUGAAGGCCCUCGGGUUGUAAACUGCUUUGUACGGAACGAAAGGUUUGUCUUAAUACGAUGAGCUCAUGACGGUACCGUAGAAUAAGCACCGGCUAACUACGUGCCAGCAGCCGCGGU
This 490-nucleotide ribosomal RNA is filed under the name uncultured bacterium. RNAcentral's name for it is "bacterial SSU rRNA". It matches the Rfam family "Bacterial small subunit ribosomal RNA", at positions 30 to 521 of the family's 1533-position model. The record is from RNAcentral.